This is a long non-coding RNA of Lycium barbarum (goji berry), 568 nucleotides long. RefSeq lists it as uncharacterized. Lineage: Eukaryota; Viridiplantae; Streptophyta; Magnoliopsida; Solanales; Solanaceae. The transcript is spliced from 2 exons. The record is from RefSeq and is a predicted model, not a curated record.
UGUAGCUUACCACGAUAAGCAGUUAUGAAUAAGGGGGUUUCACCUUUUGAAUUGGUCUCCCGGAUGAGAGUAGGGUCUUCUGGGUUUACCAAACACUCAAUAAUCGGGACAAUUCCGAGUUCUGCUGCAAGGUGAAGAGAAAAGAGUCAUCUCGAUCUGGAUGGUAAGAAGAGAUAGCUAAGUGAAGAGCAAUAUCUUCAGAUUUGGUGAGUUUGGAUUCACGGACAAACUCGUUGUUGAUGUACAGUUGCUGAACUUUUUCCCACUCAUUCUCCAUUGAUGCUUUAAAUAUUUGACGUACAAUUUCUUCCUGCAUCACGAUUGGAAUGGAGGAAUUCGUUGUUGACUGUGGUUGAAUUUCUGGUUUAACUUUUUUGGGGUCCAUUGGCACUACUUGUUUUUGCAGAUUGUGUUGAUGCCACUCACCAGUCACCAAUGGAUUCUAUAUAUACUGCUAGGAGAGACGUAUUGUUGACAAAUAUUUCUUUACAAGCCUCUAUGCUGGUGCAUGUGUAAUGGCUCUUCUAGUAUCCAAAGUAUUAAAGAAUCUAAUACUCCUUUACUCUGA